Molecule: long non-coding RNA, 3891 nt
Organism: Cuculus canorus (common cuckoo)
Lineage: Eukaryota; Metazoa; Chordata; Aves; Cuculiformes; Cuculidae
Exons: 4
Source: RefSeq, a predicted model, not a curated record
CUAAAGGUAAUAUUUUCUUUGAAAUUUUCAGGUUAUUUUUGGUAUCAUAAUGACCAUGGUAUUUCCAUAGGCAUUUUUUGUUUUUAAUUUUGUUUUUCUGUCUAAAUGUACUCUGGAAAAAUUAAGAAAAUUCUCAAAAAAAAAAGAUUUUUUUCUUCCACUGAAGUUAAAAGUAUGUGUAGAGUUUAUGAUAAUCUUCCUAUUGUAUUAGAAAUAUCUUUAAAGGAUUGUUGAAGGUUUACCUCCUCUUUUCCUCUUUACUAUCUUCCCUCUCACUUUUCUUUCCUUGCCAAAAAAAUAAAAAUGAGAGAAAAUUAAAAAAGGGGGGGAGAAGUGGCAGAGAAAAUUCACAAGUAAACUGAGGAAGUUUAAAAUCUAAAGACUGUUUCUGGACAAAUGUAAUAAUAGGCAGAUACUGACAUUCCUGUUGUUCUGGACAAAACGUGUGGGUCUUUCUGUUUUAUGAUCCCACCUGUUCUCUCCAGCACAUCCUUGUUCCCUCGUAUUCCCCCUGAGCCUACUUUAUUUGAUUUGUAGGAUGCGUGAGGAUCACUGAGGUAGAUCAUAUCAAUGACAACACUGUGACAUAAACAACUUGGCAGGGUUUUGCACUGCUUUUUUGGAAGGGUAGAGUCUGCCUUUUUUUUUUACACUUUAUUUCAACAAGUCAGAAGUGCUACAGGAGCAUAUCCCACUUCCCAUUCCAUAACCAACACUGGAUUUUCUGUAUCAAAUGCUUACAAUUCUUUGCAUCUCUCUGUUUCCUUUGAUCCCACAAAGAAAUUUAAUUGAUUUAAAAAGAAACUGAAGUAUCCCAAAAUUAACUAAAAUGUGAUAAACCUUUUUGGCAUUUACCAAAUCCUUUUUCUGUUUCUGUCAAAACAUCCAUUGAUUGUACCUGAAUAAAUGUCUUGCUGAAGUAAGUGAAGCUAUCUGUGACAUUUCUAUAAAUUACUUAUAUUUAUGGUACUUCUAAUAAAGUUCAUUGAAACUUGAGACUUUUAAAAUUAAUCAGAGGUCGAUUCAGUGCAUGAAAUAGAACCGAUUAUCUCUGCGGUACAGCUAUGAUACAGGUAUCCAAAUGAGCCGGUAGGAAUAAAGAUGUUAUUUCCAUGUUAUCUCAUUAUUAUAUCACAUAUCUGUCUAAUCUGUGAAUAAAGUAUUAACUGCUAUGUGCUUUCAGAAUCUGGAAGAAAACACGGUGAGUUCCCAAAGGUGCACGUGGACUUGUUUGUGUUUAUAAGGAAGUCAACCACAAGUGAUGUGAUUAAAGAGUACUCCAUCAGUGACUUGGCCCUGUUCUUUUCUCCAUCUGGACAGAGGUGGAAAUGGCAAGCAGAACUUACCAGGUUCAAGAAGGUGACUUUGAAGACAAUUCAUAGUGAGUGAACAUGCAUUAAAGCAUAAACAAUUCUUUGUUUCAGGAAUGAGAAAGCAUUUGUGGGCUGAGUCGUGAAAAAUAAAGAAUUGGCUUUGUUUGACUGUUAUGGCAAGUGUCAAACCUGGUAUGAGAUCUUUUCCUCAAGCAGACUUCAAUAAUAGAGAGAAUUGUUCGAGGGAAGAUAUUUCUUCUUUAUUUCUAUUGAAUGUAUGAUGAAAAAGUUGAAUAACCCUCAAGCAAACGCAUUUUAAGGAAAAUCUUAGGGGGUGUGGGAGGAACAAGCAUUGAAACGACUGCUGUAUCUCUUCCUCCUGCCGUGCAAGGUGUCUUCAGGAACCCAGAAACUUGUCAAAGUCAAAACCAUGCUUCACUGGGAUAUUAUCAGAAGAAGUUUUUUUGGGGAAGACAAGAUAAUUAAGGAACUAACUUCAGAAUGUGAUCUGUUACCUUGCGCACUAAGCUCAGUGGAGCAGGAAACUUGUAAAUGUCACAGUCAAACCAGUUAUUUAUUAGUUUGAACUGACACAGUCUAACUUCUCUGUAAGUAGUGAGAAAAUAUUCCCUAUCACUUGAGACAUUUAGAACUGCAGCAAAUUGGACAGAGCCUGAAAAAAUAUCCUCUUGAGCUGACUGCUCUUAUGGCAGCGAGAGGAGCAAUGGAAUGAACACUUAUGGUCUUUCCCUUCUUCUUUUGUCCGCCUACUGUCCUGCCACCAUCUUCAAGAUGCUGUUGGUUGUUUCUACAGUCAAAAUUGUUUCCAGAGUGCUAUAGGGUAAGUGGGCAACUCAAUUUAUAUGGUAGUGGGUGCGUGGAGAAUUGGAUGAGCUAGUGACCAGGGUACAAAAUAGUAGGAACACUUUAAAAAAAAAAAAAAAAAUUGACUUUUCCCCUUCUUGCUUACCGGCUGCAGACUGCACCAUGAGAGAAACCAAUCACAGACUCAUUCCCAAACUGUCCAGAUGAAAAAGACAUGUAGGCUACUUUGCUUACUGCCAUAACUCUCUGGAAUUGCUUCCUGCCACAUACUUGAGUACUAUAUUCUGGCUAAUUUGCUAUAACUUUCCACUAGAAACCUAUUCCACACCCUGAUAAAUCUCAUCUACAGCUCUUCCUGCAGCUCCCAUCCUGGAAAAAUCAGUCCAUAUUUUCCUUUGUCCAUUUUCAUUCUGAAUCAGAGAUGCCACCUGAAACAUAUAAGGGCUAAGAGCCUCAGCAGGCACUGGAUAAUUUUCUUUGCUCUGUGGAGGAUCCAGCAUUGUAACAAAAAUCCCACACAGGCAAGAAAAAAUGAUUCAUAUGACAGGACUAUCUCCUACCCUUAACUCCUGGAGAUAAGGACCUUUUUACUUACAACUUGGGAAAGUACUGUUUAACAAGCAUGAAAGAAGUGCCUUAUAAAACUGUUGGUUCUCCCAUACUGAACUAAAGAAAUACUUUCAGAGAAUAUAGAACAGAAAUAGAAUUUUAAAAUACCCAUCUGAAAGCUAUGAUCUGUUCUUCUGAUCUACCCUUGGGCAAAGAGGAUGUUGAAAUGGUUCAGGCUCCAUUCUGCAACACAGAACCCACCACAGACUCAUGUACCCCAUUUCCUGAGCGUUGCACUUAUGUAAUGCUAUUGUUUAAGUGCACAGUUUUGGUUCAGGGUAGUUUGUAUGAGGAUCAUGUGAAUGUUUACAUACAAUAUGCUGGAUGACCCGAGAUGAGACAGUCCCAGCUACAAAGUACGACAUGGUCUGGUGAACAUCAUUUUCCAGGUGCUCAACGUUUCCACAGGGUACUAUGUAUUGCCAUAUCAUCGAUUUGUGAAUUGUGAGUGCUUAUACCUGAUUCUCUAAGUGCUCUCUCACCUGUUUGACCUUGCCCACGAUGCCUCACUUACCCCCCAGUGAAACAAAUGGAAAGUUUUCUGUCCUUGACAGGGAACUGAAUCAGACUCAGCUGGAAGAUGAAAAGAAAUGCAGGUUAAAAACUGUUGAGGACAGAAGCGUGAAAUUUGUAGGUCAGAAGACAGUCUGGAAUUUCCUCUUCUAUUGCUGCAUUAUUUGUGUAUUGAAAUUAAAGUAUUUUGCCAUUCUCGUUCAGACCUUUGAGAAAACAUUAUUGUAGUUAAUCAGCUAAUUUUCAAGCACUGUAGCCUUACUAUAGGUACUGAACCCUGCCUUUACAUCUUUUAGCAGGAAUCCUUGUAAAUGUCACUAAAAUAUAAAGACAGCACUAUUUCUUUGAACAAGUGGUGAUGAAGGUGCGCUGUGUUAGAAAACUGACACUCUUUGUGUGUAUAUUAUCUUUUUUGAGUCCUCUCUUGGUUGUCUCUCUUUAUUCCACACAGGCAUGAUAUUAGUAGCCUGGAGCAAUUUCUGUGGGCCCUUUCAAUCAAAGCCCGUCUUGAUUUGUAUAGUUAUGUAGCACAGGCCAAGAUGAAGUGCCCAUUUAUUUCCUGAAGAAAACAGAUUAAAUGUGAAAGGUGAUCCUCAAAAGUUUCACAGUUUCAGUUGCCUUGGAGAAGCAC